Molecule: ribosomal RNA, 350 nt
Filed under: Metapolybia aztecoides
Lineage: Eukaryota; Metazoa; Arthropoda; Insecta; Hymenoptera; Vespidae
Description: partial 12S ribosomal RNA
Source: RNAcentral
UUUAAUUAAUAUUAAUAUUUUUAAUUUUAAGUUAUUAAAUGUUAAAUCAUUAAAUUUAAAAGAUUUGGCGGUAUUUUAAAUAAUUAGAGGAACCUGUGUAAUAAUUGAUGAUCCACGAUAAGAAUAACUUAUUUAUUAAAGUUUAUGUAUUGCUGUUAUUAGAUUAUUAUUAAUUAAAUUUUUAAAUAAUUAUAUUUAAUUUAAUUCAAGUCAAAAUAUAGUUUAUUUAAGAUUAAUAUGGGUUACAAUUUUUUUUGUAAUUGAAUAAAUUAUAUUUAAUUUAAUUUUGAAAUAGGAUUUAAUAGUAAAUUUAAUAAAUUAAUUAAUUUGAAAAUUAAAAUAAAAUAAGU